AGUGCAGUUCUUCCUCCAACAAACACCUGCAUUCUUUUUUUAAAUUAAAAAAGAAGAUUUGACUGAAAUUAAUCUUUAAUACAUACACUUAAGCAUCAUCGGCGAAUUAAUACAGCAGAUCAUAAGUACCACUGCGGAUUCUUAUUUAAAUAAGGACCAGAUGAUGAUCCAUUACACGAGAUAUUUACAAAUCUACUGUUAACAUUACCGCAAAUUAUAAAACGAAAACCAUCGCCAUCUUCAAUUAGCAGUCUCCUCGAUCUCCUCUGGAUCUUCAAAGUUAGGAUCCUUAGCGUCCAUAGCCUCUCUCUCUCGCCCGAUCUCAGCUCGCGAGUACCCAUCGCCGGACCACGUGAACUUACCGCCAUGUCCGCCUUUCUUCGGCGAUCCACUCAUUCCCGUCGCAGAUCUCCUGUCUUUCCUCGCAUCAGACUUACCCGUACUGCUCUUUUGGCUUUUCCCACUGUUCUUCAUCUUCCGAUCUCAAAUUCUCUCUGCUUAGUGUGACGCGUGGUGGAAGUAGGCGUGAGAGGGUGUAUUUAUAUGAGCCGAGGAAAACAGUAGCAGCUUGAUUCUAUGGGUAGGCCAGUGUGUGGGCUUGGAAUCCAGGGCCACGAAAUGGAUAAAAACGAACAAAUCAAAAAUAAUUAUUUACGAGAUGAGGUGCCAUGGACAGUCUGUUUAAGUAUUAGAUUAUUUAUUUGGUUUAGAUAAUAAGAUUACUUGCCGCCGUACACAUGGCACAAUGAUCACAAAUAAUAAUUUGAAAUUUUUUCUCUAAUCAGAGUGUUUUUUUCUUUUUCUCUUUUUUUUUUUUUUUUUUCUUCUUCUCUCUAAUAAGCUUGAGGUGGUUUACUUGCAUAUAUAAAAUCGUGGUGUGCCCUCCAAGCAUAAAUAUAGUAUACACCAAAGUCAAUAAAUUGAAUCCAUAAAAACUUCAAAGAUUCCAAGACUUGACCGUUGAAAUAUUGUUUGUAUAAACUUAGAAUUAAAAAAUAAAUGGAUGUAAUAUGUAUUGUUUAUUUAGUUGGUAAAUAAAUAAAUAAAUUUAUAUGGUUUAUAUUUAUAAACAAAAAAUAACAUAUUUCAUAUCUAUUGGGUAUAAUGAAGUCAAGUGGGUAUCAACAAUAUUUAAUGACAGUUUAUUUUAAAAAUCAAUGGUUCUUAAUUUCAAUAAACUUUAAUAGUAACCUUUGCAAUUUCCAAAAUACUUUUCACCUACAUCAGUAUGCUUUGUUUUACAUUAUAAAAAUUUCAAGUAUUCUUAUGGUUAAAAAAAGUUAACAACUACUACAUUAAAAAAAAAAAACAAAAGUUGAUAACUACAUAUAUUUUCAGCAUUUAUGGACAAUUUCAUUAUUAAAUUAAAAUAAAUUAAACCAUGAUAAAUACUAAUAAUUUUUUAUUUAAAUAUUUAAUUAACUUUUUUAUAAUAAUUUAUUAUUUUAACGUACAGUAUCAUUUAAAUAAUGAGUCUUAGUGAAAUUAUGUUCAAAUAUUUUCAAUAUUUUAUUCUUAUUUACCAAAUUGAUUAUCUUUUAAUCACUUAUUUAUCUCUAUAUAUAAUUUAUGCAGUUAUAACUAAUAAUAUUUUAAUAUUGUAUUUGUUUAUUUAUCUAAAUACAUAAUAAAAAUAUACUUUUAUUAUUAUUUUUUAAGUUAACUAAUUCAAAAUUUGGUGUUUAUUUUAUGAUAAUAUGGUAUUACGUGGUUUAAUUUUUUUUGUUACUCUUUUAUGAAAUAUUUUUAGAGAAUAUUUAAAAAUACAUAUUUCGAUUUUUAAAUAUAAAUAUUUAAAAAUCUAAACUAAAUAAAUUACAAUAAAAAAUAAUAACUUGAAGAAACUAAUAAUUUUAAAUUAAAUAAUAAAGUCAGAAAUAAAUCACAAAUACUAAACACAAUAGACUAUAAUGUAUUCAAUAAAUUACUAAAUUAGUUUAUGAUGUUUGAUAUUUAUUAUAAUUUAAUUUUAAAUUUUUAAUUGAUUAUAAGUUUGUCCAUAAAAUUUUUUAUUUGUUAAAUGAUUAGAUGAUGUUUUAAUACUUUAAAAAUUAACUAUAAUUAAUUAAUAAUUUUGAUUUAUUUUGUUAAAAAUAAAAAUAAAAAGAGUAAUUGAAAUAGAUUUAAAAAAUAUCAAAAAUUAUUUAAUUAUAAUAAAAAAAUAUUAAAAUUAAAAUUAUAAAUUAAUUUAAUAAUUUAUUCUAUUAAUAUAUAUAAUUUAAAUCACAAAAGACUUGGUUAUAUUUAAUAUAUACAUAUAUAUAAUGUUAGAUUGUUAAGGAAAAAAACAUUAAAUUUUGGUUAGUGGUUCACGGCAACAAUCGUCUCUUACUUGUCAACAUUUCAUUGGCGAACCAAAAUAACUGUACUCUAUCCAAAGCAGGGAAGCCCAGUAAAGAAAUGGCUUUCUCCAAGCCCUAAAGUUGAAUGCAAGCAGAGACAGAAACUAUCAAAACCUUUGAGCGUGUAAGAGAAGGCAAGUGAUGCUGUGAGGGUCUUUUUGCGCAGACAAUUCUUUUAAAGGAAAUUAAAAAACAAGGAAAUUAUAAAGGGGGCUAAUACUUAACUGCUAUGUUUACAUCCUUUACCAUUUUCCUCUCGCCUGUUUCUCCUUCUCAUUUCCUAUCCUUCAAUCGUCUUCCUCCCUCUCUGCCUCCUUCUGGUGAGACCUCAAAAUCAUCUCUCUCUAUAUGUACACGCGUAUGUAUCCAUUUGUCGUUUUCUGUUCCUCUCUAUUCACUUGCUGCUUUACUUCGAGUCUUGUUUCUGACCUUACUUUAUGCUGCUGUCUUCGUGGCCACUUUGAACUCGCAUUACGUUUAAGCUCGUGUUAUUAGCACAGUUUCUUUAUAUUUCCAUGUGGUUAGACUUUUUAUGUUUACGUUGAAGAUUCAAGAAUCAGUAGCCUUAUGCGGCUGGCGAAUCUAGUUUUUGCUAUAUCUAUAUGUUUUUGAUAUAUAUGUAUGUGCGUGUAUACCGUGGGAGAAAAUUAUUUCAGCGUUAUUUGGUUGGUUGGCUUGAUUUCUAAGCCAGGGAUUGACAGAUUGGGUACAUGUUGUGAUUCCAUUUAGUUGCUCAUUUGACUUGCCAAUUUUAUUAGGUUUUGCGGUAAAGUAAAAUUAGUGAAAACAGUAACUCCAAAUCUUAAUUUCUCUUUAGCGACUUCAGUUCCUGAAUUAAAAUGUAAUAUUUAUUUAUAGGUAUUUACCAACGGAUUCUCUGAUCUGAUCAUGUUCAGUCUCACAUUUUAUUUUCCCUUCUCUCUCUCUUUUUUUUUUUUUUGGUUCGAGACAGUAAUUGCAAUCAAUUUAUUGUUCUUUUAUCUGUUCAUUAUCCUUCAUUCAUUCUAGCAAAAUAGAACGGAGGCUGAAUUUAAACUUUAAAUCCUUACUAUAUUCAGAAUGUCUUGUCACAUUACAUUAAGGAAGUUGUUAAUUUGGAGAAGUUUCUAUCAUGUAAUAUACAGAAGAUUUUUUUGCGUGCAGUUCUUUGUUACUUCUUGUUUAUUUUUUAAUUCUUUAUUAUGUUGAAGCAAAUCCUUAUAGUUAUUUAUGUGGUGACUAUGAAACUAGACAGACCUUUUGAGGACAACAUCAAGAAGACUUAUUUCGGCAACUAAAACACAGUCAAUAUCAACCAUGGCAACUGUAAGUUGAUCGAAUGCAAACCAAAAAAGUUGUUUAAGCGUUUCUAUCCGUAUAUGUCAUUGUUGAAUAGUGGAAAUCAAUGUAGCUGUAAUUACCCAGUUGAGAUACUUUCACAAGUUAAACUAUGGCAAAGAUGUUUAUCUUGGGUAUUGAUUUUGAAUGUUGUGCACAGGAUGAAGAGAAUAUUGGCAAUUUAAAGCGACAAUUGGCUAAACUCUUUGAAGAGUCCCUUAAAUUAACAGUUCCUGAUGAAUCUAAUGUUGAGCCGUUAGUUGCUGCAUGCACUGCAAAAUUUGGCGAUUACCAAUGGUAUGACUUAAGUUGGUUCCAUGAGUCAUUUGUUGCAUGCUAAAUCAGAUUUUUUUUUUCUUUAAUGUGUUUCUCUACAUGCAGUAAUAAUGCCAUGGACCUCUGGUCCAAAAUCAAAGGAAAGGGCAGUGGAUUCAGGGGUCCUCCAUCAGUCGGACAGGUAUUAGCAUUGACAUUAUAGAUGUUUCCAGUCUUGUUUCAGACAUUUACUUGUUAGCUUUGUAUGAUAAUCGUCAUUUUUAUUUGCUUUUACAUUUUUAACAGGCCAUCAUGAAAAAUCUUCCACCAUCCAAAAUGAUAGAAUCAUGCUCUGUAGCUGGACCUGGAUUUGUAAAUGUUGUAUUAUCCAAAAAUUGGAUGGCUGAGGUGUUCUCCUUGUUCUUAUACUCGUUUGCUCAUUUCAUUAGUUUUUUGAGUUAUGUUAUCCAUUUUUGAAGGUGCUUUUCUUAUCAUAUUCCUUCCAUUGACCUUAAAAGAAUCACAUGUACUUCAUCUGCAGAACAUUCAAAAGAUGCUUAUUGAUGGAGUUGAAACAUGGGCACCUAGUAUUUCUGUCAAAAGAGCUGUGGUUGACUUUUCAUCACCCAAUAUUGCCAAAGAAAUGCAUGUUGGUCACUUACGAUCUACUAUUAUUGGUGACACGUUAGCUCGUUUGCUUGAGUUCUCAAAGGUUGACGUUCUACGACGAAACCAUGUUGGUGAUUGGGGGACACAGGUAGAUGCUUCUAUCUUUUCUAAGAGCUUGUCUUUUUUCUAUUUUUAUUUUGUUGUCUACUCUUUUCUUGAGAAUAAUGAAAAUCAGUUUUUUGCUUUCAAAUUUACUGCACCAACAUUUGGCAUUUAAAAUCCAACAAAUUUAUUAUGGUGUCAAAUAGAUUUAUAUGCUAUUCUCUGCUGGUGCAAAGUCGACUAUAAUUUCUCUGCCAAUUUUUGUUUUUGAAAUAAACAAGUGAGGUAUAUAUUAACAUGGUACCAAAAAUAGGAGGUACUACCCAUGGACAAUUUACAUAAGUGUUAGGGAAACCAUGACAUUUCCAAAAUUCUCAUCACUAAUAAUGUCAUAUACUAACAAAAUAACCUCUAAAAAAUGAAUCUACCUAUCCCUUAUUUUGUACAUACUACUCUCAACACCCUCAAAAGUUUUAGAAUUCCUUUCUUUUCAAAUAGUUAAGAAAUCAGUCAAAAAAAUUAAGUUAGCAGUAUUGCCUUUUACAUAUACACCAUCCCAAACCCAAAUGUCCAUACUAACCGACACUGCCACCACCCACGCAAUCCCUAAAAGCCCAUUCACUAUACACCAUAGAUUGUAAGUUAUAGGACACCACAACAAAAGAUGAAUGCACGUCUCCUCCGUUUGAAGACAGCCAUAGCACCUAUUAACCAAAUACAUUCCCCUUCUGAUUUUAUCAAUUGUUAAGAUCUUCUCUAAAGAUGCUUCCCAAGCCAAAAAAGCAAUACGUGGAAGAGCCUUGGUUUUCCAUAUUUGCACAGUCGGGAAAACAGAACUGCUAUUACUCUCCCAAGAACACAGAAAUCUGUAAUAAGUCGAAACAGAAAACUCUCCUCUCUUUUCCCAUUUCCAAACAGCCUGAUCACUGUCUACAUUUAACUGUUUUGCCUCAAGAGUCUUCAGUAACUCUUGAUCCUCACCAAUCUCCCAAUCAUUCAAGUUUCUGGAGACCUCAACCACCCAAACAGUUACCCAAUUGAUAAUACGGUAAGCUUCCUCAACUGUCAUGUUUUUUCUUUGAGCAAUAGAGUAUAUUCUGGGGUACCGUCCCAUGAGGUUCCCAUCACCUAUCCAAACAUCCAACCAAACUUUAUUUUGUUACCUCUACCAAAAUCCCACUUUAGGCAUUGCUGGAAAUUAGGCCACUGCAUUAGUAUAUUCCUCGAUAAUCCUCUUCCGUGGGGAUUGUUUGUCUAUUAUAUCGUUUUGUUUGUGCAUUAUAUCUCAUUUCUUGCUGUUUAUUACUGAAUGAGAAGCUUCAAAUGGGUUUUGAAAUGCUUCCAUUCAUUAUCAGCAGUGACUAUUUUAAGUUUUUUUCCCCUCUUGUUUUGCCAUUUUGAAUGUGCUAUUUUUAAGUUUUGGUUCAUUACUUCAAUCAGUUAUAAAUUUGUUCAAGUUUCUUCUUGCCUGAUCUGACAAGCUAAUUUUUGUAUUUUCUAUAAUUUUUUUUGUUUUGCAGUUUGGAAUGCUAAUUGAAUUCCUGUUNNNNNNNNNNNNNNNNNNNNNNNNNNNNNNNNNNNNNNNNNNNNNNNNNNNNNNNNNNNNNNNNNNNNNNNNNNNNNNNNNNNNNNNNNNNNNNNNNNNNNNNNNNNNNNNNNAUAAAAACAAAAAAAAAAGGUCAUCGUUUUAAUUGAGAGUCUACCAGAUGUUAAGCCAUAUUUGAGACCAUGCACGAGUUUUCAUAUCUUGUUGCAAAGAAUCCUUUUGCUUAUGACAUCAUAUUUUGUCAAAAUCUAAGUAAUCUCUUUAUAAUAUCUUUUUGGUCCAUGUAUGUCCCUACAAAAUGUGAAUUCAAGUCUAGGUGUUAAUAGUUUAACAGGAAAUUCUCUCUGGGCAACUCUGAUCCAUUAUUACCAUACAGUUAUUGCUAUUCCAAUUUGUAUAGACCAUUACCGGCACUAAAAGUGUUAGAUUUCAAUAUAAAAUAUUUUCUUAUGAAGUUAGUUAAUCUAGUGAUCGUGUCAAAUUUCUAAUUUGUGGGGUGCCUCUGGUAGGCAUUUUAUAAAGCAUCAAAAAAGAGAUUCGAUGAAGAUCCUGCUUUUAAGGAGAGGGCACAACAGGCUGUGGUUCGCCUUCAGGUAAACAGUUUUCCUUCUUAUUUUGGGGAUUUGUAUAAAUGAUUCAUCUUUUGCUCCUUUUUUUUUAAUUAUCCUAGUGAUUUAUGAUUUAAGUUUCAUCAUGGAUGAAUUUAAUAUUGGUUAUUUAUUUAACCCAACUCAUUUGCAGGGUGGGGAGUCCAAGUACCGCAAAGCAUGGGCACAAAUAUGUGAAAUCAGCCGCAAUGAGUUUGAUAAAGUUUAUAAACGCCUUGGAGUUCAGCUAGAAGAGAAGGUAAAUUAUUAGUUUUCCAUUCCAUUAAAUCAUUAUGUCACUAAUUUUAGCUUUCUAUAGGCACCUAUAAGAUCUUUUUGUCUCAUGGUUGGUCUUCUUUUUAAUGGAAUGAGAGUGGGUUGAUUUACUAAUUUCAGUUAGUUUUGUUAUAGCAACCAGGUGAGCUUUUACGGAGUGAAUCUCAUAGCUUGCUGGUUCUUUAUUUUCUGUAGGCAUCAAUAUUUAUAUUCUGAAUUUUUACUCUCUAUUUGGAUCAUGUUAAAUGGUAGAAUUUUAAUGUAUGGUAUUUUACGGGCGUGAGAAAACCAUGUUUGUUUCAACUUUCAAGGGUAACAAAUGAUAUUUGACUGACAGAUUUUGGAGUAAAUUUUUAAACCACCAAAUUGGUAGUAUUUAGUGGGCAUUCUAUUUGUUUCCCAUUAUACCCCCAUCUAAUUUAAUUAAUUUCAUAUAUGUUCUGAAAAUUAAAAAUUUAUUAAAUUAAUGUGAUAAUAUUAAUAAUUAUUAUUUAUUUUAUUAAAUAUAAAAUUUUAAUUUGAUUAUGUACAAUAAUUAUUUAUUUAAAUACGAAUAUAAUUAUAUUAAUAAAUAAUUUUUUUUCCUUACACACUUUUUUUAUACCAUUUACUAUUACAUAUAAUAUGUAAGGGUAAAUUAAUAAUUUAGUUAAAAAUACAAUCAUACCAUUCAAUCAUUCAAACAAAAAUAUGGUAUUAACAUAUAUUAAUAAAUCAUCAUCCAAACGUAAAAAAAUUUUACCAUUACAAUCCUGUGUUAUUAUCAUUCAAUUACUGUCUUUACUAUACAUUAAUUAACCAUCAUUGAAAUUUAUCCAAACAAAGUUUUAGGGUCUCAUUUCACCUAGGUGAUUCAGGACUUUCUAUAGAUAGCUUUAUUUAGGAUGCUUUGCAUGAUGUUUUACUAUUGUUUGGGGCUUCUCAUUUUCAAGUGCUUGGAACUGGUGGGUAGUAAAUCAAAAUUAAUGUUCUCAUAGCCAAAGGAUUGUUUGUAGUUGAUCCCAAUUCAGUGGCUUGUGAGUUCUCAAUAUUGUAUUUGUUUUUCUUUUGUAUGCAAAAGAAACAAAUAUGUUUCUUUUGUUUGUAUUUUAUGCAAAUUUGAAUUUUCUAUAUGCUUGCAGUCUAUCUUACUUCCAAUUUAUCAAUAGAAUAAGCAGUUUUGAUUAUGGGAUCCUUUUUAAUAUUUUGUAAAAGGGACAUAUGUAAGAAUGUUUAGAUAGAAGAACAUUGAAUAGUUUGCAUCAAGUAUAUAUGAAGUCAGAAUUUUGUAUAAAAUUCAUACUGUUAUCAUAUUUAAGAAACACCAUUUCUAAUUAUGCGUUUUCCUACUAUUCCAAAAAAAAAUUAUGUGUUUUCCUUGCUAACAGGGGGAAAGCUUCUACAAUCCUUAUAUUCCAAAAGUAAUAGAAACAUUAAGUAAUCAAGGAUUAGUAGAAGAAAGUGAAGGUGCUCGUGUUAUCUUUAUUGAAGGGAUCAAUAUUCCUCUUAUUGUUGUCAAAAGUGACGGCGGUUACAACUAUGCUUCAACUGAUCUAGCUGCUCUUUGGUUAGUGCAUCUCGACACUUUGUUGAAUAAAAUUUGAGGUUGAUAUAUAAUGUCUCAUCCCACAUUUUUUUUGAGAGAAAAUAAUGUCUCAUCCCACAUGAUAGUACCUUAGGGGAAAAAGUGAUAAAUGUUUGUGGCUAGUGAUUGCUAGAGCAUCAUCAACUAGCACUUUUGGGUGGACUUGUGUGUCAAGAACUGGAAAAUAAGGAAUCAUAAUUUGUUCUCAUGAUUAUUAAUUAGUUGCAAUUUAUUAGCAUUCCUAUAGUCUAGUCUAUAUUAGUGGGGUGUGUAGACUAUAAAAGGAAGGUUCUACUGUCAUUAUAAGCAAACAAUGAGUGCAAAAUAUUGAAAAUUCCAAAAUCUCUUGAACUAUAGUUCCAUCCCCAAUUCUUCCAAAUCAAUUAUUUUUUCCUUUGAAGCACAUGAGGAUUCCGGGACCUAACAAUAGUGUUAGAUGAUGCAUCCUGAACUAACUUAACUAAUAUUGAUGUUAUUAUCCUUAAGUAAUUUGUUCAUAUUCUAUAUAGUCCUGUACUAUCUUUCCAAGCAUGUUAAGAGUUUCAAAAGUUCGUAGGCUAUCCAUAUUAUUAUUUUUUUUGAAAUAAAAAGUGUAACGAAUAUAUAUUAAUAGAGUACCAAGAAAAUAGGGGAUACCACCCAUUACAAAAGUGUUACAAUGUAGUUAGUGUGUUAGUGACAACCAAAAUUCUCAUCACUAAUUAUGUCAUGUCCUAAUAAAAUAAAUACAGAAUAAUGCGUUUAUCUAUUUUUUAAUCUAUACAAAUCACCCAAUUUACCCUCAAAAGCCAUAGAAUUUCUCUCCUUCCAUAAAACCCAAAAAAUGGUUAAUGGAAUCAUUUUUGACAGCAUUCUAUCAAAGUGCACAGCAUCCUAAGCCCACAAUUCCUCCCUUACAGAUCCAGCCACUGUCCAAUUUAUACCAAGUAGAUUUUAAAUAAGACUCCACAACUCAAAAGCCACAGGACGCCACGACAACACAUGAUUACACGAUUCUUCUGCUU
This 9602-nucleotide long non-coding RNA is filed under the name Carica papaya (papaya). Its description in RNAcentral is "long non-coding RNA (CPAP_LNC007481)". Lineage: Eukaryota; Viridiplantae; Streptophyta; Magnoliopsida; Brassicales; Caricaceae. The record is from RNAcentral.